This is a long non-coding RNA of Chlorocebus sabaeus (green monkey), 1268 nucleotides long. RefSeq lists it as uncharacterized. Lineage: Eukaryota; Metazoa; Chordata; Mammalia; Primates; Cercopithecidae. The record is from RefSeq and is a predicted model, not a curated record.
UGAGAGGGGGAGAGAGAGUUGGAGAGAGACGGCCGCGGAGGACACGGGGACGGGAAAGUCUCAGAGACGGGGAGAGCCUGACCCGGCGGGACACAGGCAAAAGGAAACACGCGAGCCAGACAGACGCAGAAGAAACGUGCCUGGUACUGGAUAGGAACUUUAUGGAAUGGAGCUAAUGGGCCCUAGGGCAGGUUCGAGUCGUGCCACCCUGGAGGGGAAGGUGGAGGGUAGGGAUAAGGGGGUGGAGCACCUGAUUCCAAUCUUGCAGCAGGGAAGAAGAGUCUGUGAAGUGCGUGAUGACGCAUUCCUUAGGGCCUUGGGAUGGAUGCUGUGGCAGUACCUUUACCUAAGCUGUAAAGUUACCAAUGGAGAGACUGGGACUCAAAGAGGAACUUGAUUGGACCCCAGAGAGGUGAGGGGUAAGGGCUAGAACCUCACACAUGCUGGUUUUGCUGCUGCCUGGCAGGCCCAUGAGAGGAACUUUAAGGUUCCAAGGAAUUGGAAAAGGGUCACAAGAUGGGUGGUCCAACUCCCAGCUCUGGCUUGAUUCCUACUCUCAAACUGGGGAUAGUGGGGAAGGGAGCUGCAGGAAGGAAGCUGAUGAGAAAGGCUGAGAAUAAGAAGUUAUGCAGGAGGUAGCUUGGUGGGAGUGAAACAAAAAUGAAAGGUUCAUGGGCCAGCCAGGCAUCCUGAUUUCCAGCUCACAGCAGCAGGAGCUUCAGAGAGGAGGGAGAAGGGGAGGAGGAGAAAGCCAGGUUGAUAUUAAUAAAGGCCAAAUAAUUUCAGGAACACCUCUGGUCUCCCUCCACACAGGUUUUCUUACCUUGACUAUGCAGAGGGUGGUCCAUCUUGGCACUGAAGGUGGAACCCCCUCUUCCAUGGUCUGGGGUGACCCCAUGCCUGUUACUGAAUGUGCUCAGAUCCUUGGGGUGCAGGGACUGUAGGGGGAAGAUUUGAAGGUGUGGGAUUGUCCUGGCUGGAGACCACUGGGUCAGGAGAACUCCAGUAGAGGGUUUGGGUGCUGGGAACCAGGAAGAGUGGGGGAAGGGGCAGAGCCAACUCCAGAGGCGGAUCUCCUGGCUGAGGACAGAGGGUGUAUUGUCCAAGCAGGAGGUUGCUGCAGCUGGGCGGGGAGCAGCUCAGCUCGUCUCUUCCAAAUUUCUUUUGGGGGAGGGUAAGGGAAGGCAAGUCCCUCUUUACUUGUGGCCCUGGGGGCUACAAUGGUUGCUGAGAAACAAGGCUUAUUUGACAAAUAAUGCUUCCCAGGA